RNAcentral lists this ribosomal RNA (559 nucleotides) under Polysporina frigida. Its description in RNAcentral is "eukaryotic LSU rRNA". The stretch from base 232 to 385 matches the Rfam family "5.8S ribosomal RNA". The record is from RNAcentral. Lineage: Eukaryota; Fungi; Ascomycota; Lecanoromycetes; Acarosporales; Acarosporaceae. RNAcentral also lists the same sequence under 1 other name.
CCCAUUAGAGGAAGUAAAAGUCGUAACAAGGUUUCCGUAGGUGAACCUGCGGAAGGAUCAUUACAGAGUUAGGGUCUUUCAGGCCCGAUCUCCAACCCUAUGUGUAUUUACCUCUGUUGCUUUGGCGGGCCCGCUGGGAACCCCCACCGGUGGCCACUGGCUCCCGAGUGCCCGUCAGAGACCCAUCAAAUCCUGUUAAAUGUGUAGUCGGAGUAUGAAUACAAUAAUCAAAACUUUCAACAACGGAUCUCUUGGUUCUGGCAUCGAUGAAGAACGCAGCGAAAUGCGAUAAGUAAUGUGAAUCGCAGAAUUCAGUGAAUCAUCGAAUCUUUGAACGCACAUUGCGCCCCUUGGUAUUCCGAGGGGCAUGCCUGUUCGAGCGUCAUUACACCACUCAAGCUCCGCUUGGUAUUGGGUCUUCGUCCCUGUGGAUGUGCCCGGAAAUCAGUGGCGGCACAGCCCGGCUUCAAGCAGUAUUAAAUAAUCCUCCGCUUUGGAAGCUCCGGGUCUGGGUCUGCCAGACAACCCCCAAAUUCUCAAAAGGUGACCUCGAUCAGUA